RNAcentral lists this ribosomal RNA (484 nucleotides) under uncultured bacterium. RNAcentral describes it as "partial 16S ribosomal RNA". It matches the Rfam family "Bacterial small subunit ribosomal RNA", at positions 29 to 507 of the family's 1533-position model. The record is from RNAcentral.
AUUGAACGCUGGCGGCAUGCUUUACACAUGCGAGUCGAACGGCAGCGCGGGCUUCGGCCUGGCGGCGAGUGGCGAACGGGUGAGUAAUACAUCGGAACGUGCCCAGUAGUGGGGGAUAGCUCGGCGAAAGCCGGAUUAAUACCGCAUACGACCUGAGGGUGAAAGCGGGGGAUCUUCGGACCUCGCGCUAUUGGAGCGGCCGAUGGCAGAUUAGCUAGUUGGUGGGGUAAAGGCCUACCAAGGCGACGAUCUGUAGCUGGUCUGAGAGGACGACCAGCCACACUGGGACUGAGACACGGCCCAGACUCCUACGGGAGGCAGCAGUGGGGAAUUUUGGACAAUGGGCGAAAGCCUGGUCCAGCAAUGCCGCGUGUGUGAUGAAGGCCUUCGGGUUGUAAAGCACUUUUGGCGGGAACGAAAGGGAUUGUGCCAAUACCACGGUUCGAUGACGGUACCCGCAGAAUAAGCACCGGCUAACUACGUG